GGCGCCAGAAUCCUCGUCACACACCUCCAGCUCCCAGUGACCUUACCUCAGGCGCUCACCAGCCUCUCUGAACUUCUGCGUUCCCACCCCGCAGGGGGAUGGCAGCACCUGCUUCCUCAGGGUGGGCACUGAAGAGCGGAGGAGGUGACCGAAGCGCCUGGCACCCAACCAGGGCCCAGGACCACCACCUUCUCUGCGCCUUUGCCUAGACUUCCCCUCACAGUGACAGCCUUUGUGACAUCAGCUGUAGCUAUAAAAAUUCUUCAUGGGGCUUCUCUGGUGGUGCAGUGGUUAAGAAUCCGCCUGCCAGUGCAGGGGACAUGGGUUCGAGCCCUGGUCUGGGAAGAUCCCACAUGCCGCGGAGGAAGUAACUCCGUGCGCCACAACUACUGAGCCUGUGCUCUAGAGCCCCGUGCUCCACAACAAGAGAAGCCACCGCAAUGAGGAGCCCGUGCACCGCAACAAAGAGUAGCCCCACUCGCUGCAACUAGAGAAAGCCCGAGUGCAGCAACGAAGACCCAACGCAGCCAAAAAUAAAAAAUAAAUAAAUUAAAAAAAAA
Long non-coding RNA from Orcinus orca (killer whale), 560 nucleotides. RefSeq lists it as uncharacterized. Lineage: Eukaryota; Metazoa; Chordata; Mammalia; Artiodactyla; Delphinidae. The record is from RefSeq and is a predicted model, not a curated record. The transcript is spliced from 2 exons.